GUGGUGUAUGAACGCAGAGAAUGACAUGACUUGGGACUAUGGAAUUGAAGCUGCUUAUAAAAACUCAGCCUAGUUAUGUCCCCUUACACAAAGGGUAUGGGCACUGAAGCCAGACAAUCCCAAGCAAAUAUAGUGGGUCUUUAUCAGGGGAGUAAUCUUAGAUUGCUUGGCAUCAGUGCUCCAGUUGCUUUGUAUUGAUCAGUCGGAUGUAUCUGGGAGACUCCUGGAUACAAAGUAUUGUCACCAGUCCUCUGAGGGUUUGCUCUGAAGGCUUCUAUGUGGGCCUGGAGAAAGGCUGGAUUGUAGAAAGAUUGGUUGAUGUGUCAUCUCAUCUAAAUAAAGGUGAUGGUGUGGCAGGCAGAUAACCAGGUGGAUUUAAAUAAUUGUGGACAGUCACUUCAUCUAUUCCUGGAUUCCAGUGACCUUUGAACUCCCAUUUCAAUCUCUCUGUUGU
Molecule: non-coding RNA, 454 nt
Organism: Odocoileus virginianus texanus
Lineage: Eukaryota; Metazoa; Chordata; Mammalia; Artiodactyla; Cervidae
Source: RefSeq, a predicted model, not a curated record